GCCUGACCCCAUGCCGAACUCAGAAGUGAAACGCCGUAGCGCCGAUGGUAGUGUGGGGUCUCCCCAUGUGAGAGUAGGGAACUGCCAGGCA
This 91-nucleotide ribosomal RNA is filed under the name Pluralibacter gergoviae. The record is from RNAcentral. Lineage: Bacteria; Pseudomonadati; Pseudomonadota; Gammaproteobacteria; Enterobacterales; Enterobacteriaceae.